RNAcentral lists this ribosomal RNA (514 nucleotides) under Escherichia coli. RNAcentral describes it as "partial 23S ribosomal RNA". It matches the Rfam family "Bacterial large subunit ribosomal RNA", at positions 2429 to 2925 of the family's 2925-position model. The record is from RNAcentral. Lineage: Bacteria; Pseudomonadati; Pseudomonadota; Gammaproteobacteria; Enterobacterales; Enterobacteriaceae.
CUGAAUGGAAGGGCCAUCGCUCAACGGAUAAAAGGUACUCCGGGGAUAACAGGCUGAUACCGCCCAAGAGUUCAUAUCGACGGCGGUGUUUGGCACCUCGAUGUCGGCUCAUCACAUCCUGGGGCUGAAGUAGGUCCCAAGGGUAUGGCUGUUCGCCAUUUAAAGUGGUACGCGAGCUGGGUUUAGAACGUCGUGAGACAGUUCGGUCCCUAUCUGCCGUGGGCGCUGGAGAACUGAGGGGGGCUGCUCCUAGUACGAGAGGACCGGAGUGGACGCAUCACUGGUGUUCGGGUUGUCAUGCCAAUGGCACUGCCCGGUAGCUAAAUGCGGAAGAGAUAAGUGCUGAAAGCAUCUAAGCACGAAACUUGCCCCGAGAUGAGUUCUCCCUGAGACUUAGAGUCUCCUGAAGGAACGUUGAAGACGACGACGUUGAUAGGCCGGGUGUGUAAGCGCAGCGAUGCGUUGAGCUAACCGGUACUAAUGAACCGUGAGGCUUAACCUUACAACGCCGAAG